This 422-nucleotide ribosomal RNA is filed under the name uncultured bacterium. Its description in RNAcentral is "bacterial SSU rRNA". It matches the Rfam family "Bacterial small subunit ribosomal RNA", at positions 355 to 773 of the family's 1533-position model. The record is from RNAcentral.
UGAGGAAUAUUGGUCAAUGGGGGCAACCCUGAACCAGCCAAGUCGCGUGAAGGAUGAAGGUCUUAUGGAUUGUAAACUUCUUUUAUAGCAGAAUAAAGUGACCCACGUGUGGGUUUUUGUAUGUAUGCUAUGAAUAAGGAUCGGCUAACUCCGUGCCAGCAGCCGCGGUAAUACGGAGGAUCCGAGCGUUAUCCGGAUUUAUUGGGUUUAAAGGGUGCGUAGGCGGAAAGAUAAGUCAGCCUGUGAAAGUUUGCGGCUCAACCGUAAAAUUGCAGUUGAUACUGUUUGUCUUGAGUGUACAUAAGGUAGGCGGAAUUCGGGGUGUAGCGGUGAAAUGCUUAGAUAUCACGAAGAACUCCGAUUGCGAAGGCAGCUUACCGGGGUACAACUGACGCUGAUGCACGAAAGUGUGGGUAUCAAAC